CCGCAAACCUCGUCUGUUUUUGUUUUGACGUUUUGAGCUAUUUAGAGGACCACAGAAGUCCUUAACAAAGGAGAUCGUCAGCCUUCGGAGUCUAGGGAAAAAAGCUAACAAAAAACAAGAAAACAGGAGACAAAAUGGCAACAGACUCUCCACGAAGACCAAGUCGUUGUGCUGGAGGGGUUUUGGUGCGAGCACAAGCUGCUACGGAGCAGUCUUACAUGGAAAGUGUGGUGACCUUUCUGCAGGAUGUGGUUCCCCAGGCAUAUACUGGGGCUCCACCUACUGAUGAGAAAGAAAAAAUAAUUUGGGUUCGAUUUGAGAAAGCUGACAUCAAUGACACCGCCCGCAACCCAGAAUUUAUGGAGUUGCACAGUGGUACUACUGACCCUCCCCUCUGUCUUAUGAUUGGCUACACUGAUGGGAUGCAGAUCUGGAGUGUAUCGUUGGCAGGGGAAGCCCAAGAGCUGUUCUCAGUGCGUCAUGGUCCUGUGCGAGCUGCACGCAUUCUGCCAGCACCUCAUAUCAGUUCUCUGAAGAUAGACAGUUUUGCUGACAAGAGGCCUCUGCUGGGGGUUUGCAAGAGCACAGGGUCCUCCGGGACAAGCCCUCCCUACUGCUGCGCUGACCUAUAUUCUCUACGGACAGGGGAAAUGGUGAAAUCAAUUCAGUUCAAGACACCUAUCUAUGAUCUUCACUGCAACAAACAUAUUCUUGUUGUAAGUCUACAAGAGAAGAUUGCAGCAUUUGACAGCUGCACCUUCACCAAGAAGUUCUUUGUUACAAGCUGCUAUCCCUGCACUGGCCCAAACUUCAAUCCAAUAGCUCUUGGAAGCCGUUGGCUAGCCUAUGCUGAGAACAAGUUGAUAAGAUGUCACCAGUCUCGUGGAGGAGCUUGUGGUGACAAUGCUCAGUCGUAUACUGCUACAGUGAUCAGUGCUGCCAAAACUUUAAAGACAGGCCUGACAAUGGUGGGUAAAGUUGUCACCCAGUUGGCAGGCACCCUACCAGCAGGCACUCCAGAUGAGGAUGGCACACCUCAUAGCGCCAGCCGCCGUUGCCCCCAUAAUCCAGGUGUCAUCACCAUCAUUGACAUUCACAGUGUUGCUGAAGGACAGGUCUUGGUUAGUGAAGACUCGGACGGAGAGGGUGUGGUGGCUCACUUCCCAGCCCAUGACAAGCCUAUAUCCUGCAUGCAAUUCAACCCUAGUGGAAUGCUGCUGGUGACUGCCGACACUCUGGGCCAUGAUUUUCAUGUGUUCCAGAUCCUUACCCACCCAUGGGCUUCCUCACAGAGUGCUGUUCACCAUCUCUAUACUCUGCAUCGUGGAGAGACUGAGGCAAAGGUCCAGGACAUGUGCUUCAGCCAGGAUAGUCGCUGGGUAGCAAUCAGCACCCUGCGUGGCACCACCCAUGUCUUUCCCAUAAACCCCUAUGGUGGUGCACCCUGCGCCCGUACACACAUGUCCCAGCGGGUUGUCAACCGGAUGUCACGCUUCCAAAAGAGCGCCGGCCUUGAGGAGAUCGAACAAGAGCUGAAUAGGGCGACUGCAUUAGGAGGAGGAGCAGGAGGAGGAGGCAUAGGAGGAGGUGGUUGCAUCCUGGGUGGAGGAGGAGGCAUCGGAGGUCGCUGUAGCCCCAUACCUGGCCUGUCCAGUAGUCCCUCUGGAUCUCCACUGCACGCCAAGCUGAGCAACCAGGAUUCAUACAACAACUUCACCAAUAACAACAUGGGGAGCCCACGGCUGUCACCGCUGCCCAGCCUCACUGUCGUGCUGCCUCUGGCUCAGAUCAAACAGCCCAUGACCCUGGGCACCAUCACUAAACGCACCGGACCCUACCUCUUUGGGGCGGGAUGUUUUGCCAUUAAAACUCCAUGCAAAGCCAAGCCACCUCCUCAGAUCUCCCCGAGUAAGUCCAGUGGAGGAGAGUUCUGUGUGGCUGCCGUUUUUGGCUCAUCUCGCUCCUGGUUCAUCACCAACCCCAGCAUGAAAAGAGAGAAAGAUCAGUCCAGGCAGUCUGUUGUUGAUUCUCUGUACAUCAUCAGUUGCUAUGGUAACUUGAUGGAACAUGUCCUGGAGCCUCGGCCAAUUAGCACUGCUCAAAAGAUUAGUGAUGAUACACCUUUGGAGCUCAGCACCUGUCCAAGGGCCUGCUGGACUCUAGCGAGGACUCCACAGUGGAAUGAGCUACAACCACCCUUCAACUCCAACCACCCCCUGGUAUUGGCUGCAGACCUGGUACAGCAUUAUCAAUACCUUCUGGCUGCGAUGCCCCCAGGAAGCCCAGGCCCAAUCACACGUCACGAAUCAUCAGACAGCCUGGCAUCGGACCACAGUGGUCAGGAGGACGAGGAGUGGCUUUCUCAGGUGGAGAUUGUGACCCAUACAGGACCUCACCGGCGCUUGUGGAUGGGCCCCCAGUUUCAGUUUAAGACCAUUCACCCAUCAGGCCAGACCACAGUCAUCUCCUCCUCGUCCUCCGUACUUCAGUCACAGGGCCCAACUGAUAUCCCCCAGCCCCUCUUGGACUUUGAUACAGAUGACCUGGACCUGCACAGCCUCAGGAUUCAACCAGUACGUUCAGAACCAGUCAGCAUGCCUGGUUCAUCACGGUUGGUGGGUGAUCGUCGAGGACAGUCCAACAUCAUGGAUGCAGGAUCGGACAUGCUCUCAGCUUAGGGAGCUGGUUCAUGGGCCGGUCAAAGCCGCCUUAUUUCCUUUUAAUUGACUUAAGAUGGGCAAACAAGACUUCACCAAGCACACGGUUAUUCCUAAAAAGAAGCUCUUCGCCCUGCAAAUUACCAUUUCAGUUGAUUUGUUAUUUAUUUAUUUUUCCUCUCGGGCAUGCCUAUCAUUUUCAUAACCCCUCCAUCCAUUCAUCUACCCUUCCCUCUCUCCCUCACUACCCAGUCAGCAUUUUGUCAUUGGUGUGAGAGAGAGAAGAGGACAGGCAAGAGGAGGAGGAGGAGGAAGAAAGGAAGAUGGCACGCUUUCUUCUUGUUUGUCUUUCUGUUUGUCUUCCUGUUUGUCUGCCUGUUCGUUUGAUUAUAACAUACACACUUUAAUAAGUUCAGGUAUUAUAGUUAUUUUCUAAGGCUAUAUCAAUAUUUUCUUCUUAGUUGCUGUGCUUAGGAUGCUUCCCUUGAGAGGCUGGCAUGUCUGAUAUCAUGGCAACAUUGACAGGCUCAUUAAAUGUUUCAGUGCUAUUAACCCCCAAAGCCAGUCAUCCACUUUAGAUGAUCACUUUCUCACUGCAGCAUUAUUGUCUUGUUGUUAGUCUAUAGUUAACUAAACUGACCCAGACAUGGCUGUUGCCAAGCUUUGAAUGCUUUAGAGAGCACAGUGGCAGGUGUGUACAGUUUGUAGUUGUCCAGUAGUUGUCUGUCAGUGCUCAUUGUGUACAUCAGUAUAGGUCAUCACAUAAUACCAGUGCAUGCAUCACAGCACAGGACAUACUGGAGAAAUAAUUUAUGGUUAUAUAAGAGAAUUAUUUAAUGCCAAGCCUUACAGCUAUAUACAUCCGUGCUAUUUACAAGCCACAACAUAUACUGAGUGCCAUAGAAAGGCAAAAGAAAUGAUGUCAACAUACCUAAAGCUGUCACUGUCCUGACCAAAGAAGUUUCCCAGUGAUCCACAGCAUGCCAACUUUCAGGCCUGGGCAUGUGACUUCAUAUGACCUGUGAUAACUGCCACAUUUUAAUUUGUGAUGAAUCCAGUGAUUUGAAACUAAUUGCUGUCAGUUGUGUUAUGUGCUGGCUAUCAUCAGAAAGAUAUUUCAAAAAAGCACUAGUAGUGUUUGUGUAAAUGUUAUUGAAACACAAAAUAAUUUACCGCAGAGACUCUUAGAUGACAUAAAAGAGGAAACAAAACUGCUGAGACCAAGUGUGUUAUGCCUGAGUAUUAUCCCUGAUCCUUCGUAAUGUACAAAGUAAUGGGAAAAAUGAACUACAGUAUUUUGUUGUUUGACAGAAGAGGAAGAAGAGAAGUCAUGACACUAUCAUUUUUUUCUACUUCCUUUUGGUUUACAGAUCUCUACUAGAAAUUCACUGUUAAAGCGGCUCUAACUUUCAACUGUUAAGGGUGAAUGAGAAUCAAACUCCAGCAGUAUCCCCUCCUCUUCUCCCUCUGCUCUUCUUUGGCCCUCCUGCCCUGUCUCUGGAAUUACAUCAUAUGUGGUCAUGACAGACAGAAACAGUUGCAACACAGGCAAAUAAUACAGAAGCAUGUUUUUCCCAGUAAUAUUGAUACAGUACUAAUGUUCUGGCCACUAUUGCAUCAUGUUCAGUGUUGCAUUCUUGACACACAUAUUAUGCUAGAAGGUAGCCAUGGGUUGUAGGUAAAAUGAGAAAUUUCAUGUUACGAUUUGAUACGUUUUGAAAAAGCUCCCCACUGUUCUAGUUAAUAGUGUAAAUUUUAACAACUUCUCACAAAAAUUUUGCAUGUACUGCAAUGUUAUGCCUGGCAUAAACUGUACCAAAACCAAAAUUAGCAGUAUUAUUGCAUUUGCUAAUCCAGGAAACACACUGGUUUCCGUUAUUUGAACAACAAAACACUAACACUGCAGUCAGUUGGAAUGACUCCAAAUUACAACCAGAAUAGUUCAACACAAAGAUAUAAAAUUAAAAUGAUAGUUAGCUUUGUAAUGAUGUCGACAUAUACACAUUAGCUUAGCAUCUAGCAGGAAGAAAGCCACAUCUGCAUCAGAUUUUAGACCUUUGGUUGCUUUUAAUACUCUCCAUCUCUGACAUGCAAACCAGUGUUACCCCUGGUUUUGUAGCAGUCUUUCUGUGCUACAGAAUGCGGUCUCUUGUGUCUAACAGGUCCAGUCUCCCAUCCUGUUCUAUUCAAAUUUUGUUAUCUUAGUUAUUGCAUCUGUUUAAAAAUAGCCUUUUCCAAAAUAUGUUGUUUAAGUAAGGCUAUUACUAACUUUACAUCUCUAAGGAUUGACAGUUAAAUGGACUUGAACAAUAUUUUGUGAUCCAAGUGCAAUCUGUUAAUCGCGUGACUCAACAUUAUCUUAAAUCAUGGAAAUAGUAGUGUUCAAAAAUCCUGGUGUUUAGAUGUUAUGAGGUCCCAGCCGACACACCACACUACACUGGCAACAACAAUCAAACUGCUUUCAAAGUCAUUUAGAUCAGGCACCUUGCAAUUUGACUGUUUAGUCAAACAAUAACUAAACCUAUUGAACUAAUCUGUGGGCCUCAUAUGUUGAUUUGCAGCAAACCGGAUGCGCUCUUUGAAGUAGCUUUCUGUUGACACGAAUAUAGUGGUCACUGAGUCUGUAUAUUAUAAUAUAUGUAAGUCCUGAGGAAGGUGACUGAUGGGCCACUGGUGGGUAGGAAAAAUGUCAUGUAGCGUUAAUAUACGAGCCAAGUAAUUAAAUGUCUUUUAUGUGCUUAAAAUUAACAGCCACAAGUGUAAAGCCAACAAAAAAAUUACAAUGAUGAGCAAAAGAAAAACAUCAAGUUUUUAAAUUGCAAUCAUGAAAUAAAAGAGAA
Molecule: RNA transcript, 5497 nt
Organism: Monopterus albus (swamp eel)
Lineage: Eukaryota; Metazoa; Chordata; Actinopteri; Synbranchiformes; Synbranchidae
Gene: bcas3
Gene name: BCAS3 microtubule associated cell migration factor
Exons: 25
Source: RefSeq, a predicted model, not a curated record